CCGGCGCUCGAUUCAACUUCUCUCCUUCCUCAUCGUCUCUUGCGUCAUCCUCGACGAUGGCUUCAGUCUCCCAGAGAUGAAAUGCCUCUCUGACCAGUGCGGCGACGUCUUGAUCCAGUACCCUUUCAGUCUGGUAGGGAGCAACAACAACAGCUAUUACUGUGGAUAUAAACAACUCCGUUUGAGCUGCAGUGGUGAAACAACGAUGUUCAAUACCUCGACGGACAGUUACAUCGUAAAGGCCAUCAAUUACACCACCCAAACACUGUCUCUUAUCGACGCUGAUGUGUUGGGUCAAAAUUGUCCCAGAGUGAACAAUCCCUUGAACAUAAGCUCAUCAGAAAAUAUUCUGGAUACCACUUCUUCCGAUGUGCAGUUGGAAUUCUUCUUCAACUGCACACGACAGGAGGAAUUAACGCCCUACGCAGUUGUUUGCCUCUCUACCGGAGAGACGUCGUCAUACGUCUUACCUGUUAACAAUGUCACGAGCAUCAAACCGUCGGAUUUGAACUGUGAAGGAAAUGUGAAGUCGACGGUGCUGAGGGAGGAGUGGAAUGGUAUCAACGGGGACAUAACUAAAUUUGGUAGUGUGUUACAGGAGGGAUUCGAGCUGAAGUGGAAGAAGACGGACUCAAAAAAUUGCAAUGACUGCGAGAUUAGCAAUGGAAGCUGU
RNAcentral lists this long non-coding RNA (673 nucleotides) under Zostera marina. RNAcentral's name for it is "long non-coding RNA (ZMAR_LNC002599)". Lineage: Eukaryota; Viridiplantae; Streptophyta; Magnoliopsida; Alismatales; Zosteraceae. The record is from RNAcentral.